AGAGCUCGGCACGUGCUGGGCACAGUGUGGGCAACUUGAUCCCCUCCUGCAGGAUGCGCAGUGGAUCCUGCGGAGUGGCAGCUGUCCUAUGGAGAAGAUGCUGCAGAAGAAGGUGCUGGAUAAUGUCAGAGCUAGAUAUUGACAGCUGGCCAGGCGUGGCUCCCCAGGUGACAACAUGGACAUAGAGAAGCAGGGAGAUGUGAAAUUGGAUGACUUCCCCAGCUACAAGGACUCUGGGAUUCCACCUGGUUCGCCUGAACAAUCAGAAUGACCCUCCUAUCCAAGGUCCUCGGUCACAUCUGUGAAGCCUCUUUUACCAGUGACCAGAGGAGAUGAGUCAGGGCACAUCAUUACCUCCUUCACCGCCCUGGCUCACCAUCACACCCAGGUGUUUCCCCAGUCACCCGAAGAUGUGGCCCUGCUCCCCACGUGCACAGAUGGACUUCUACAGAACCAAGGAAUUGACCAUCCUGUUUCCAACAAUAUCUCCAGCACAUGGCAAAUUUCCAGCCCAAUCCGUGCUUCACUUUCUGGCCAGGAACAAUGAAGAGCUGGGUUCCAGGGUGGAGGCCCUGGGCUGGACAGGAGGGGUUUUCCUGUCACCCAUCCCUUGCUGAGAGACAACAGGAAGGAGGAGCUGAUCCUGAAGAGACACCUGGAUGGCCAGUCCUGCCUCUGAUGAGUGAUGGUCCUUCAGACCUUUCCUGUCCCCUCUACCUCUUCCGGUGGCCUUUGUGUUUUCAUUGUCUCAAAGUUAUAUCUGGCCCAUCCUUUCUCCUAUGCUGUUCUCGCUUUUCUCUCCUAUUGGCUGAGGACUCAGGGGACCAGACCACUGCCACAAGGGCAGACAAACAGGAGGUGCCGGCCCCGGCAGGCCCAGCUGUUUCCUGGGCUGUCCUGGCUGUCUUCCAGUGGCCCAAACCUGUCUUCCUCUGUGUGCUGCACCUGGCCAUCUCAGGGACCCAUCCACAGGGCCACUCACAGCCUCAUUUAUUUACUUAACAUUUCAGGUUUAAAUGAGUCUGGGCAUCAGGGGCUGGGUCAGGACAGUGAGAAGAUGAGCAGCCUCCUUUCUGAUCUGGAAAAACAGCCACAAUCACCAGAAUCGGGCUGUGAGGUUUCGGAGAGACUUGGGUGCUGUGAGGACAAAGAGAGAAACAAGUGGAGCUGGGACACAAGUGGGGGUGGCCGUUUCUGACCUGGUGGCUGAGGACAGCCUCUUGGAGAGAGCACAAAUGGCCAAGACCCACAUGUUGGUGGAAGGUGGCUUAGGAACGUGGGAUCCUGCAAACAUUGGGAGAAAUGCGCACCCCUCUACUCCUGGCGACCAGCUCUGGUGCCAAGAGGUGGCAAGGACACGCUGGUGGUGCAGACAUGCUGGCCACUCCUCCUUGGAGCAUGAGGUACUCAGCCUACAUCAUUCUGUCCCAUUCAGGGACAAGGAAGUAUCGGGAGCUUUAGAAAAAAAUCUGAGCUAGAGUCCAAGACUUCACAGAGCAGAAUCUUGCUGGAAUGAAUUGACUCCUGGGAGGAAUUGGUCCCUAUCUGUGAUGGUGACUCCCUCUCUUUGCCCUUUGGGGAUUCUGUUUAUAAUCCAAAAGGCCUGAGCUGGAAGCCUGCUCAUGCAGGUUCCAAUUCAGGCCACACAGCCAGUGAGGGAUGGUGGGGACUUCCAGGUCUCCCUGCCCCAGUUUAGGGGCAGGUCCCUGGAUUCAGCAGACAAAGGCUUAGGAGAAUGGAAAGGGAGGAGCUCUGGGGAACAUGACUCAGCUGUCGCCUCCAAGGACAGUUGGAACAUUGGGUCACUGGGGCCAGCAUGAUGGGGAAGAGCUUGGAGAUGGGACAGGCCACAAUCCCAUAGCCCCAGGCUUGUUGUGUCCUGGGGAGACUCCCUGAUUCCCAGCUGCUGGGAUUAAUGAGAAUUUAUCUCUCAGGCAGGGUCUGGCCUCAGGCAGGGUCUGACCUCAGGGAGGGACAGAGUGGCUGGUGCAUCAAGCCGAAGAAGGCGGCCCAUGUGUGUUGGGGGUGAGGUGCUUAGUAUGUUGGCUGUUGGGUCCCAAUGUGGAGGGAGAUGAGCAGAGGCCUGACCCAGCUUCCCACAGACAGGACCUGCUCAUUUCUUCAGGAUACUCAGGGAGCAAGGGGUUUUUUGCUCAUGGGAACCCCCCCCACACACACACACCAACACAGCAGUAUGAAGGCCUUUCAGUUUGCAAGAUUGUUGCCGCUCACUAGCAGCUGUGUCUCUGACAAGGUGCCUAUCCCAUGCUGUCACAGAACCGCAUGUGGGCAGGGAGGGUACACACACCCGUGAGCAGGGCUGGACAGUUAGACUCCAGAGUGAGGAGGAACCCACAGGUGGCAUCCCAUCCUCACCUGCUGUACUCACUUCAGAAAUCCCCUCCACACUGUCUCUGACCUCCGUCUCCCAGGAUGAGUCACUUGCCUCCUGUGACAGGAAACAUGAUCCCUCCACAGGCAGCUGCUACCUGGUGGGAAGUGCUAAGGUCAGAAGGGGCUUCCUUCCACCUCUCACAGCCCAGCCCACCGGAGGGGACAGGAUCACUGCAGCCAGCCUUGUCCAGGGAACUCCUGCCACGUGAAUCCUGUCUCCCCAGUGAGAUGGGAGUCUCCCCAGGACAGAGGCCCCUUUUUGACACUGAGCAGUAGAGGAAAAGUGCUCUGAAGGGAGCGUAGCCCAUGGUAAGAAACUGUCAGCUGUUCUCAUAAGAGACACUGUUCUCCCUGCCCCGUCACCAUCUGCCAUAGCUGAGAGUGUGCCUCCCGCUGGCAGGCAGCAGCACAGGGCACAGGGCACAGGGCACAGGGCUGCAGGGUCUUUGCCUCGGGCACCACUACGAGCAUUUAAGUGCGAAACUCUGGUCAAGUCCUCACUUUACAGGUGAAUAAACUGAAGCAGAGAGAGAAAAUAAUUGAGAUUGUACAGUGGCAGAGACAGGCAGUCCGUGUUAGUCUGUGCUCCCAACAACCCAACUACCUCGGGCACUCCUGAGAAAGAUUUGACCUCGGGGGUCCACGUGACACAAGGGUGCAUCCUGGAGACCUGCUCCCCGGCCAGAUAUCUUAGGGCUGUUGGGAGUUGAGAUGUCACUGGACCCAUUUUCCUGUCCCCAGGUGUCCUGGAAGUCCAAAAGUGGCUUUUUGCACACGGUGACUUUGUCUCAUGUCCCCUGUCCUUCUGGCGAGCUGUGAAUGGGAGGAGCUUCAGAUGAGAACACAUCAGUGUCAUUCCUAGGAGAGGAGACCAAGAACAGAGGCAGUCCAGCUCGGGACACAUGCCCCCAUCACUGUGACCGCGCAUCUCGCCUGCAGUCACUGCCAUGUUGAUGCCAUCAGCAGCCCCCGACCACGCACACGCGCACAUGCACAAGUGCACACGAUAUUAAAGUCGUAUUUUUGGUUGCUGGGAAGGUUCGGUUGUCAUUUCCUCUGCCCUCGGCAACCCGCUGGCCCAGCUCCCCUUUUUCUUCCCCGCCCCACUGUGGAGCACCAUCCAUUUGUAUUUAUAUAGAUAAAUCGGCCUGCUAAUUAAAGUUCUGUUGCUGGAGAGUGAGGGAAUUAAUAAAAGAACUUGGAAGGGAGCCAACUGAAUGCUGGGGCGCAGGGAGCCGGAGCUGAACCCACAGCAGCAAAGGAGGCCAGAGGGUCCAGUGCAUGUGGGAGCCGCCCUACCUCCCCCAGGAGCCCAGGGCUCAGGGCCCAGGAAUGAGGACACGGCACCACACGAUGAGCUCUUUCCUUCCUUCCUUCCUUCCUUCCUUCCUUCCCUCACGGUGUUUCCUGCUGGGAUGCCCCGUGUGUUUUCUCUUACCCUCAGGAGGUGGCUGCAGGCCAAGCAGAGGUAGUGGGAGGAGGUUUGAUUGACAGCAACCAGGAGGACCAUCAUGGCAGUGCUUCGGGGUAAGAGGCAGCCAGGGGCUGAGACUCAGUCACAGAACACCCACCUGUGCGUCCUGACUCUGCCACUUAUAGCUGGUGGCUCUGGAUAAGUCAUUUAACCACUGUGUGCCUGAAUUUACAUCUGUAGCUAUCAGGGGCAGAGGCUAGGAUAGGACCAAAAGAGGACACUAAGACUGCAGCUGAGCAGGGGGGAAAGGAGGGAAGAGAAGGGACUUCGCAUUACUCCCAGGAAAGGAACGAUCCUGGGCUAAGUCCUGGCUGCUCUGUUGAGCAGCUGUGGGACCCCAGGAGACCCUCCUACCUUCUCUGACUCAACUGCCACAGCCGAGGCACAGAGCUCCUGCUCGCAGGGCCUCAGAUAGCCUGGCAUGCACAGGGCACACUCAGAGGUGUCAUGGAAACAAGAGCUCAAGACAGGUUUUUCUGGGUCGCUGAGCCCUCCUUUGCUUCUCCCCUAGGCCGUUUGGGCUUCAGAGAUGGGCUGCAGACAGCAAACCCUAGUGUUAAGGCAGUGCACUGGUCUGAGGAGAGCAGGAGCGGCCAGCGCUAUUCUUAGCCAGGGUCCCAUCACGUGUGGACAAGCUUGUCACGAGCGAGGAGGAAAGAAGGGAGGAGCUGCUGGGUUUAACCCUGAACUGGCCAGGAUGCCGCAAAGACCUGGAGAAGAGCUCAUUGCUCCUAGGGGAAGAGGGCGUGGCUACGCUGCAGGGCCUGUCAGACAGGCCACUCUCAGGGACACUCAUGAUGGACACCCAUCUUUGUUAUUGGUGGAUGCAAUAACAAAGACCCAGGAAGGCUCAGCCUGUCACUCUAGGAGGAUAUGCACAGAAUCCUGGGAGGAAUUAGGAGACCAAAUUCAGUCCUGUAUCUACCACACAUGUGCUGUGUGACUGGGGAACAGGCAGAGCCCUUCUUUGGCCCUUGGUCUUCAAAUAAGACACAACUCUGUGAACCCUCUGUUUCUGCAUUUGGUGACCUGGAUGCCACAGCUUGGACUCCAACAAGGCCCUCAGCCCUGGAUGAACUCAUGUCUCCUGCAGGCUUCCCAGGAUCCUGCUUUUUCCCCAUGUGCCCUGUGUGUACUACCUAGUUUUAAGGGACUAGGACAUGGGAUUGACUCUUCUGGUGGCACUGGAUGGGAUGAAUCAAGAUGGAAAGCUGAGGUCACCUGGACAAGGAAGAGCAGGCCCAGGAGCUACACAGGCUGAGCGCCUGUGUGGGCAGCAAGCACCUGUGUGGACACCCAUGAGCUGCUCCCUGCAACUGGCUGGAGUCUCCGCCUCUGUAUGUCCCAGUCUCGGGGGCCCAGUGGAGCUGUCAUUCCUGAAGGCCAGGCACCACGCUCUCUCCUCCUGUUACCUCAGGAUGCACCCAGCAGGGUCCCCUUGGGCUCAGCCAGGGCCUGCUCAGGGUUCAGCCAUGCAGCAGAGCCAACCCUGAACCAGUCUCCACUCACCAGCCCUGGUCUUGUGAGUCACUUGUUUCCUUUGUAAUUAAUCACUCCUGGUCUCCAGUGGUGACGUUCCCUCCCCCAGACCAUUUGCCUAAAGAAAUGAAUUGCAUUGAUGAGAAAAACCAAA
Long non-coding RNA from Cavia porcellus (domestic guinea pig), 5501 nucleotides. RefSeq lists it as uncharacterized. NCBI's taxonomy places the organism in Eukaryota, Metazoa, Chordata, Mammalia, Rodentia, Caviidae. The transcript has 4 exons. The record is from RefSeq and is a predicted model, not a curated record.